GAUGUGAGGGCGAUCUGGCUGCGAUGUCUGUCACCCCAUUGAUCACCAGGGUUGAUUCAGCUGAUCUGGCUGGCUAGGCGGGUGUCCCCUUCCUCCCUUACCGCUGCAUGUGUGUCCCUCCCGAAGCUGCGCGCUUGAUCAAAGAGGAUGACCUUCCCCGAUAGAGACUUACUGUUCAUCGGUGAAGGGUCUACAGUAGCUGCGCUCCCCUGCUAGAACCUCCAAACAAGCUCAAGCUUUCAGGUAGAAUUAUAUUGAUUUGGAUACUAGAGCCUAACACUUAACUGAAGAGUU
RNAcentral lists this small nuclear RNA (294 nucleotides) under Tinamus guttatus (white-throated tinamou). RNAcentral describes it as "7SK RNA". It matches the Rfam family "7SK RNA". Rfam says of the family: 7SK was discovered as an abundant small nuclear RNA in the mid-70s but a possible function has only recently been suggested. Two independent studies have found that 7SK RNA binds the CDK9/cyclin T complex (known as elongation factor P-TEFb). P-TEFb activates transcription by phosphorylating the C-terminal domain of RNA polymerase II. The record is from Rfam by way of RNAcentral. Lineage: Eukaryota; Metazoa; Chordata; Aves; Tinamiformes; Tinamidae.